GUGCCAGCCGCCGCGGUAAUACGUAGGCAGCGAGCGUUGUUCGGAGUUACUGGGCGUAAAGAGUGCGUAGGCUGUGGUCCAAGUCUGGUGUGAAAUCUCCCGGCUCAACCGGGAGGGUGCGCCGGAAACUGGGCUGCUUGAGUACUGGAGAGGCAAGCGGAAUUCCUGGUGUAGCGGUGAAAUGCGUAGAUAUCAGGAGGAACACCCGUGGUGUAGACGGCUUGCUGGACAGUCACUGACGCUGAGGCACGAAAGCGUGGGGAGCAAACAGGAUUAGAAACCCUGGUAGUCC
This 292-nucleotide ribosomal RNA is filed under the name uncultured bacterium. RNAcentral's name for it is "partial 16S ribosomal RNA". It matches the Rfam family "Bacterial small subunit ribosomal RNA", at positions 505 to 796 of the family's 1533-position model. The record is from RNAcentral.